UGCCAGCAGCCGCGGUAAGACGGAGGGUGCAAACGUUGUUCGGAAUCACUGGGCAUAAAGAGCACGUAGGCGGCUGACUAAGUCGGAUGUGAAAGCCCUCGGCUCAACCGAGGAAUUGCAUCCGAUACUGGUCGGCUUGAGGAUAGCAGGGGUGAGUGGAACUCCAGGUGGAGCGGUGAAAUGCGUAGAUAUCUGGAGGAACACCGGUGGCGAAAGCGGCUCACUGGGCUAUCUCUGACGCUGAGGUGCGAAAGCCAGGGGAGCAAACGGGAUUAGAUA
RNAcentral lists this ribosomal RNA (279 nucleotides) under uncultured bacterium. RNAcentral's name for it is "partial 16S ribosomal RNA". It matches the Rfam family "Bacterial small subunit ribosomal RNA", at positions 506 to 784 of the family's 1533-position model. The record is from RNAcentral.